RNAcentral lists this ribosomal RNA (113 nucleotides) under Castor canadensis (American beaver). Lineage: Eukaryota; Metazoa; Chordata; Mammalia; Rodentia; Castoridae. The record is from RNAcentral.
GUCAACAGCCAUAACACUCUGAACGUGCCCGGUCUUGUCUGAUCUUGGAAGCCAAGCAGGAUCAGGCCUAGUUGGAUGGGGGACUUCGAUACUUACAUUUGAGGCAAUGAGCA